Molecule: ribosomal RNA, 1203 nt
Filed under: metagenome
Description: bacterial SSU rRNA
Rfam family: Bacterial small subunit ribosomal RNA
Source: RNAcentral
AGAGUUUGAUCCUGGCUCAGGAUGAACGCUGGCGGUGUGCUUAAUACAUGCAAGUCGAACGAGGAGCUUUUGUCUUCGGACGGGAGAAUUCCUAGUGGCGAACGGGUGAGUAACGCGUUGGUGACCUGCCCCAAAGAAGGGGAUAACAGUUCGAAAGGACUGCUAAUACCCUAUGUUAUCAGUUGGAUUAGACGCCUACUGAUUAAAGGAGUAAUCCACUUUGGGAGGGACCUGCGUCCCAUCAGCUAGUUGGUAGGGUAACGGCCUACCAAGGCAAUGACGGGUAGGGGACCUGAGAGGGUGACCCCCCACAAUGGCACUGAAACACGGGCCAUACACCUACGGGUGGCAGCAGUAGGGAAUAUUGGACAAUGGGCGAAAGCCUGAUCCAGCAACACCGCGUGCACGAUGACGGCCUUCGGGUUGUAAAGUGCUUUUAGAGGAGAUGAGAAAGGACAGUAUCCUCUGAAUAAGCCUCGGCGAACUACGUGCCAGCAGCCGCGGUAAAACGUAGGAGGCAAGCGUUAUCCGGAUUUAUUGGGCGUAAAGCGUGUGCAGGCGGUCUAGCAAGUUGGAUGUGAAAUCUCCCGGCUUAACUGGGAGAGGUCGUUCAAUACUGCUAGACUAGAGAAUGGGAGAGGGAGGUGGAAUUCCGGGUGUAGUGGUGAAAUGCGUAGAUAUCCGGAGGAACACCAGUGGCGAAAGCGGCCUCCUAGACCAUUUCUGACGCUAAGACACGAAAGCUAGGGUAGCAAACGGGAUUAGAGACCCCGGUAGUCCUAGCUGUAAACGAUGUAGACUUGGUGUUGGCGGGGUUAAAUCUGCCAGUACCGUAGCUAACGCGAUAAGUCUACCGCCUGGGGACUACGAUCGCAAGAUUAAAACUCAAAGGAAUUGACGGGGACCCGCACAAGCAGCGGAGCGUGUGGUUUAAUUCGAUGCUACACGAAGAACCUUACCAGGGUUUGACAUGUAAGUGGUAGUGAUCCGAAAGGUGAACGACCCCUCGGGGAGCUUACACAGGUGCUGCAUGGCUGUCGUCAGCUCGUGUCGUGAGAUGUUCGGUUGAGUCCGCUAACGAGCGCAACCCUCACUGUGUGUUAUACGUGUCACACGGGACUGCCGGUUUUAAGCCGAGGAAGGCGAGGAUGACGUCAAGUCAGCAUGGCCUUUAUAUCCUGGGCUACACACACGCUACAAUGU